ACGGAUAGAGUCAACGUAUCUAGCUUGUAUUCAGCCUGCCGGCCGGUGGUCAGGCUUGCCAAACAAACCCGCUUCUGGUUGGUUGGCGGGUCGCUUCGAUUGCUGGCUGGUAGUGCAUUUGCAAGUGGAGUGCGCUGAGAGGUGUGGGUUAGCGAUUGGAUACGGGCUUUGAGGGCACCUCCUCGGAGGUGAAUCCCUGGCCCGGGGAAAAUUGUUUAGCCUGCAUUGCUCCGGGGCGAUGGCCUACGAGUUUUAUCGUCUGCGCGGCUAUCACUGGUAACGGUCACAUGUGACACGUGCCUGUUGUUGUCGCGUUGGCGGUGGAAUUCACUUCGCCCAUCUCGGUGUAAAAGUUGGUCAUCUAUCCGACCCGUCUUGAAACACGGACCAAGGAGUUUAGCGUAUACGCGAGUCAUUGAGUGUUGAAAACUCAAAGGCGCAAUGAAAGUGAAUUGUAAAUGAUAUGCGACCUAGAGCACUGCGGUGUCCUAGAGCAGCAUAGCCCCGUCCCGAUUGCAUGCAAUGGGGCGGAGGUAGAGCGUAUUCGCUGAGACCCGAAAGAUGGUGAACUAUUCCUGAGCAGGAUGAAGCCAGAGGAAACUCUGGUG
This 608-nucleotide ribosomal RNA is filed under the name Filenchus vulgaris. RNAcentral describes it as "partial large subunit ribosomal RNA". It matches the Rfam family "Eukaryotic large subunit ribosomal RNA", at positions 419 to 869 of the family's 3401-position model. The record is from RNAcentral. Lineage: Eukaryota; Metazoa; Nematoda; Chromadorea; Rhabditida; Tylenchidae.